Molecule: ribosomal RNA, 253 nt
Filed under: uncultured bacterium
Lineage: Bacteria
Description: partial 16S ribosomal RNA
Rfam family: Bacterial small subunit ribosomal RNA
Source: RNAcentral
UACGGGGGGGGCAAGCGUUGUUCGGAAUUACUGGGCGUAAAGGGCUUGUAGGCGGCCAACUAAGUCCGACGUGAAAUCCCCAGGCUUAACCUGGGAACUGCGUCGGAUACUGGAUGGCUUGAAUUCGGGAGAGGGAUGCAGAAUUCCAGGUGUAGCGGUGAAAUGCGUAGAUAUUGGGAGGAACACCGGUGGCGAAGGCGGUUCUCUGGGCCUUACCUGACGCUGAGGAGCGAAAGCGUGGGGAGCGAACAGG